UACGUAGGGUGCGAGCGUUGUCCGGAAUUAUUGGGCGUAAAGAGCUUGUAGGUGGUUUGUCGCGUCUGCUGUGAAAAUCCGAGGCUCAACCUCGGACUUGCAGUGGGUACGGGCAGACUAGAGUGUGGUAGGGGAGACUGGAAUUCCUGGGUGUAGCGGUGGAAUGCGCAGAUAUCUGGGAGAACGACCGGUGGCGAAGGCGGCGUUCUGGACUGUUUCUGACACUGAAAAACGAAAGCCAGGGGAGCAAACGGG
This 255-nucleotide ribosomal RNA is filed under the name uncultured bacterium. RNAcentral's name for it is "partial 16S ribosomal RNA". It matches the Rfam family "Bacterial small subunit ribosomal RNA", at positions 524 to 776 of the family's 1533-position model. The record is from RNAcentral.